UUUUUAAUUGAGAUCUUGUAUGAAUGAUUGGACAAAAGGAAAACUGUCUUUAUAUUAAAAUUUGAAUUUAACUUUUAAGUGAAAAGGCUUAAAUUUUCUAAAGGGACGAUAAGACCCUAUAAAACUUUACAUUAAAAUUAAUAUUUUAUUGAAUUUUUAUUAUAAUAAUUUAAUUUAAUUUUUUGUUAUGUUGGGGAGACAAAAGCUAAAAUUUAUAUUAACUGCUUGGGAGAAAAACAAUAAUAAAUGAGUUACAGUUUAUAGAUCCUUUAUAAAGAUUAAGAGAUUAAGUUACUUUAGGGAUAACAGCGUUAUUUUUUUUUAGAGUUCAUAUCAAAAAAAAAGAUUGCGACCUCGAUGUUGAAUUAAAAUAUCUUUAUAAUGCAGGUGUUAUAAAAGAAAGUCUGUUCGACUUUUAAUUUUUUA
Molecule: ribosomal RNA, 426 nt
Filed under: Arcopotamonautes bellarussus
Lineage: Eukaryota; Metazoa; Arthropoda; Malacostraca; Decapoda; Potamonautidae
Description: Potamonautes bellarussus partial 16S ribosomal RNA
Rfam family: Bacterial large subunit ribosomal RNA (bases 302-426)
Source: RNAcentral